CCUUCGAUGGCUCAGUUGGUAGAGCGGAGGACUCUAGUAAAAAUGGUGAGGCAUCCUUAGGUUGCUGGUUUGACUCUGGCUUGAAGGA
Molecule: transfer RNA, 88 nt
Filed under: Lepisosteus oculatus (spotted gar)
Lineage: Eukaryota; Metazoa; Chordata; Actinopteri; Semionotiformes; Lepisosteidae
Rfam family: tRNA
About the family: Transfer RNA (tRNA) molecules are approximately 80 nucleotides in length. Their secondary structure includes four short double-helical elements and three loops (D, anti-codon, and T loops).
Source: Rfam by way of RNAcentral